AUUGAACGCUGGCGGCAGGCUUAACACAUGCAAGUCGAGCGGGGGAAGGUAGCUUGCUACUGGACCUAGCGGCGGACGGGUGAGUAAUGCUUAGGAAUCUGCCUAUUAGUGGGGGACAACAUCUCGAAAGGGAUGCUAAUACCGCAUACGUCCUACGGGAGAAAGCAGGGGAUCUUCGGACCUUGCGCUAAUAGAUGAGCCUAAGUCGGAUUAGCUAGUUGGUGGGGUAAAGGCCUACCAAGGCGACGAUCUGUAGCGGGUGUGAGAGGAUGACCCGCCACACUGGGACUUAUACACGCCCCAGACUCCUACGGGAGGCAGCAGUGGUGAAUAUUGGGCAAUGGGGGGAACCCUGAUCCAGCCAUGCCGCGUGUGUGAAGAAGGCCUUAUGGUUGUAAAGCACUUUAAGCGAGGAGGAGGCUACUCUAGUUAAUACCUAGGGAUAGUGGACGUUACUCGCAGAAUAAGCACCGGCUAACUCUGUGCCAGCCGCCGCCGUAA
RNAcentral lists this ribosomal RNA (501 nucleotides) under uncultured bacterium. RNAcentral's name for it is "partial 16S ribosomal RNA". It matches the Rfam family "Bacterial small subunit ribosomal RNA", at positions 30 to 523 of the family's 1533-position model. The record is from RNAcentral.